This 449-nucleotide ribosomal RNA is filed under the name uncultured bacterium. RNAcentral describes it as "bacterial SSU rRNA". It matches the Rfam family "Bacterial small subunit ribosomal RNA", at positions 355 to 825 of the family's 1533-position model. The record is from RNAcentral.
UGGGGAAUCUUGCGCAAUGGGCGAAGGCCUGACGCAGCAACGCCGCGUGCGGGAUGAAGGCUCUCGGGUUGUAAACCGCUUUCAGCAGGAACGAAAAUGACGGUACUUGCAGAAGAAGGUGCGGCCAACUAUGUGCCAGCAGCCGCGGUGAUACAUAGGCACCAAGCGUUGUCCGGAUUUAUUGGGCGUAAAGAGCUCGUAGGCGGUUCGGUAAGUCGGGUGUGAAAACUUUGGGCUCAACCCAAAGCCUGCAUCCGAUACUGCUGUGACUAGAGUUCGGUAGGGGAGCGGGGAAUUCCUAGUGUAGCGGUGAAAUGCGUAGAUAUCAAGAGGAACACCUGAGGUGAAGACGGGUUGCUGGGCUGACACUGACGCUGAGGCGCGAAAGCCAGGGGAGCAAACGGGGAUUAGAUACCCAAGUAGUCCCUGAGCGGGCUGGCAAGGCGCAU